Molecule: long non-coding RNA, 1596 nt
Organism: Dreissena polymorpha
Lineage: Eukaryota; Metazoa; Mollusca; Bivalvia; Myida; Dreissenidae
Exons: 2
Source: RefSeq, a predicted model, not a curated record
AUAACUGUGUCGUUCAUCGUCAGAUUUUAAAAUCAUUUAUCACAUUUGUUCACCAUCAUUGGACGGUGUGUCGCGCGAAAUAAUUACGUCGAUAUCUCCAAGGUCAAGGUCACACUUUGAGUUCAAAGGUCAAAAAUGGCCAUAAAUGAGCUUGUCCUGGCCAUAACUAUGUCAUUCAUUGUGAGAUUUUAAAAUCAUUUGGCACAUUUGUUCACCAUCAUGGGACGGUGUGUCCCACGAAAGAAUCACGUCAAUAUCUCCAAUGUCAAGGUCGCCACGACUAAAAAUAGAUUUAAAAAAAAAAAAAAACUUACAAAGGGGGUUAAUUUUUUUUUGGUCAUUUCAAAAGUUCAUUUGAGUUUUCUCCCUUUAUCAGAUUUUUUUUUCACAAUGAAAACCUGGUUUUGUGACAAUUUUGUCCCUUGUUUAAACAUCAUAUAAUAAAUAACCACACCGCACAUUAUAACCCCCUCUCACCCUCACCUCUCUCGCCCUAAAAAAAAACGAUUUUUUUUCUUUUUUAUGACCCCCUUCGAAGAAGAGGGGGUAUAUUGCUUUGCUCAUGUCGGUCGGUCGGUCGGUUGGUCGGUCCGUCCACCAGGUGGUUGUCAGACGAUAACUCAAGAACGCUUGGGCCUAGGAUCAUGAAACUUCAUAGGUACAUUGAUCAUGACUUGCAGAUGACCCCUAUUGAUUUUGAGGUCACUAGGUCAAGGUCACGGUGACCAGAAAAAGUAAAAUGGUUUUUGAACGAUAACUCAAGAACGCAUACGCCUAGGAUCAUGAAACUUCAUGGGUAGAUUGAUCAUGACUUGCAGAUGACCCCUAUGGAUUUUGAGGUCACUAGGUCAAAGGUCAAGGUCACGGUGACCCGAAAUAGUAAAAUGGUUUCCGGAUGAUAACUCAAGAACGCAUACGCCUAGGAUCAUGAAACUUCAUAGGUAGAUUGAUCAUGACUCGCAGAUGACCCCUAUUGAUUUUGAGGUCACUAGGUCAAAGGUCAAGGUCACAGUGACCCGAAAUAGUAAAAUGGUUUUCGGAUGAUAACUCAAGAACGCAUACGCCUAGAAUCAUGAAACUUCAUAGGUAGAUUGAUCAUGACUUGCAGAUGACCGCUAUUGAUUUUGAGGUCACAAGGUCAAAGGUCAAGGUCACGGUGACCUGCAAUAGUAAAAUGAUUUUCGGAUGAUAACUCAAGAACGGUUUUGCCUAGGAUCAUGGCACUUCAUAGGUACAUUGAUCGUGACUCGCAGAUGACCCCUAUUGAUUUUCAGGUCACUAGGUCAAAGGUCAAGGUCACAGUGACAAAAAUCGUAUUCACACAAUGGCUGCCACUACAACGGACAGCCCGUAUGGGGGGCAUGCAUGUUCUACAAACAGCCCUUGUUUUAAAUUUAAAUUAAUACAAUAAUUGAUUGUAGUACAUUAGUAGAAGUAUGUGUAGCUAUUUAGCAAUAUAGUGACUAUGUUGUAAUAAAUAAGUUCAAUUAACAUUCCAUACACAAAAUAAUCAGCAUAGCAAUGUAUUGUGAUUUGUUUGUGUUAGUGGAUUGAGGUUUUAUAUUCAUAUUUUUAAAUAAAAUUGUGACAUUUGAA